RNAcentral lists this long non-coding RNA (912 nucleotides) under Monodelphis domestica (gray short-tailed opossum). Its description in RNAcentral is "lncRNA (ENSMODG00000049669.1)". Lineage: Eukaryota; Metazoa; Chordata; Mammalia; Didelphimorphia; Didelphidae. The record is from RNAcentral.
GUCUAAGGGCCGUUAGCUCUGAUGUUCUAGGCUCUCAGAUCCUCCUGGCCUGUCUAGGCUCCCAGGCCUCUCCCCAGCUAGGGCUUCUCCUGCUGACAGGAGCUCAGCCUAGGCAGAGGGAGGGGCCGGUGGAAUGUGUGACCCCUGCUGCCCCUUCUGGCAGCAGGAAGCAGUGCAGGAGGGAGGAUCCAGGAAGUGGCAGGCAUAGCUCAGAGCUCAUGCUGAGAUCCAAGGAAUAUGAAAACUCUACUGUGUAUCAUAAUGUUUGCUACCCUCUUGUGUACUGACUGUGCCCAAGACACUGAAGAGAUUCCUCUGAGCACAGCCAGCCCUUCAGGUCUAAAUCUAUAUUCUUAUGAAUUCUGCUAUGGCAUAACAAACUCCCUUUCCCUGGGACUCAUAUACCUUCUCUGGAAAAAAAAAAAAGGGAUGAACGAGAUGUCCUGUAAGUUUACUCUCAGAUCACCAUCCAAAGUAAGUCCAAUACCCUUCUUUUUAGAGUCAAUCAGUCAACUAGCUUUUAAGAGCCUACUAUGUGUUGGGGGCAGUUAGGUAGCUCAGGAGAUAGAGCACCUGACCUGGAGUCAGGAAAAUUUGGUUUCAAAUCUGGCCUUAGACCCUUACUAUCUGUGUGACCCUGGACAAGUCACUUAACCCCAUUUACCUCAGUUUCCUCAUCUGUAAAAUGAGCUGGAGAAGGAAAUGGCAGAUCACACCAGUAUCUCUGCCAGGAAAACCCCAAAUGGGAUCACAAAGAGUUAGAUAUGACUGAAAUGACUAAACAAUGACAAGAAGUGUGUCAGGCUCUGUGUUGAGUGUUAGGAAUAUAAUGAAUGACAAAAGAGAGUCCCUGACCUCAAGAAGCUCAUGGUUUAAGAUAGGGGAUGACAUGCAAAUAACUAUGAGCAAGCA